RNAcentral lists this small nucleolar RNA (117 nucleotides) under Echinops telfairi (small Madagascar hedgehog). Its description in RNAcentral is "Small nucleolar RNA SNORA61 (ENSETEG00000026266.1)". The record is from RNAcentral. Lineage: Eukaryota; Metazoa; Chordata; Mammalia; Afrosoricida; Tenrecidae.
ACCCUCCAGCCUCCUUGCCCAUCAGAUCUACACAGAGGUCUGAGUGGCUAUACGUGGAGGAAAAGUGAAACCGAAGUGGACUUGUAUUCGUGACAUACAUGUUGGUUUCAAACAAAC